AGUUCAUCAUGGUCAGAUUGAACGCUGGCGGGAUGCUUUACACAUGCAAGUCGAACGGCAGCACGGACUUCGGUCUGGUGGCGAGUGGCGGAACGGGUGAGUAAUGUAUCGGAACGUGCCUAGUAGCGGGGAUAACUACGCUGGAAAGCGUAGCUAAUUACCGCAUACGCCCUUCGGGGCAGUGGGACCUUCGGGCCUCUGCACUAUUAGGAGCGGCCGAUAUCGGAUUAGCUUAGUUGUGGGGUAACGGCUCACCAAGGCGACAUCCGCAGCUGGUUUGAGAGGACGACCACACACUGGGACUGAGACACGGGCCCAGACUUUCACGGGCGGCAGCAGUGGGGAAUUUUGGAAGCCAAUGGGGAAACCCUGAUCCAGCCAUCCCGGGCGUGUGCGAUAAAGGACUUCGGUUGUAAAGCACUUUGGCAGUGAAAGAAACGGCACGGAUAAUACCCCGUGCAACUGACGGUACCUGCAGAAUAAGCAAUCAGCUAACUACGUGCCAGCAGCCGCGGUAAUAGCGUAGGUGCGCGUUAAUCGGAAUUACUGGGCGUAAAGGUGCAGGCGGAAGCCCGGAAAGAAAGAUGUGAAAUCCCAGAGCUUAACUUAAUCCAUUUUUAACUACCGAGCUAGAGUGUGUCAGAGGGAGGUGGAAUUCGCGUGCAGCAGUGAAAUGUAGAUGCGGAGGAACACCGAUGGCGAAGGCAGCCUCCUGAUAACACUGACGCUCAUGCACGAAAGCGGGGAGCAAACAGGAUUGUAUACCCUGGUAGUCCACGCUCCUAAACGAUGUCGGUCCAGCUGUUGGGGCCUUCGGGCCGGUAGCGCAGGGUUAUCGCAGAAGUUGACCGCCUGGGGAGUACGGUCGCAAGAUUAAAACCUGAGCGAAUUGACGGGGACCUGCACAAGCGGUGGAUGAUGUGACUAAUCCCGAUGCAACGCGAAAACCUUACCUACCCUUGACAUGUCUGGAACCCCGAAGAGAUUUUAUGCUCGCAAGAGAACCGGAACACAGGUGCUGCAUGGCUGUCAGCUCUCGUGUCGUGAGAUGGGUUGGGUUAAGUCCUGCAACGAGCGCAACCUGUCAUUAGUUGCUACGAGCAGCACUCGUAUCGAGACUGCCGGUGACAAAAACCGGAGAGGAAGGUGGUGAUGACAAGUCCCUGGUGGCCCUUGCGGGUAGGGGGCUUCACACGUCAUACAAUGGUCGGGACAGAGGUCGCCAACCCGCGAGGGGGAGCCAAUCCCAGAAACCCGAUCGUAGUCCGAUCGCAGUCUGCAACCUGACUGCGUAGUCGGAAUCGCUAGUAAUCGCGGAUCAGCAUGUCGCGGUGAAUACGUUCCUGGUCUUGUACACACCGCCCGUCACACCGGCGGAGUGGGUUUUACCAGAAGUAGUUAGCCUAAUCGCAGGAGGGCGAUUACCACGGUAGGAUUCAUGACUGGGUGAAGUCGUAAUGCU
Molecule: ribosomal RNA, 1462 nt
Filed under: uncultured Bordetella sp.
Lineage: Bacteria; Pseudomonadati; Pseudomonadota; Betaproteobacteria; Burkholderiales; Alcaligenaceae
Description: partial 16S-23S ribosomal RNA intergenic spacer
Rfam family: Bacterial small subunit ribosomal RNA
Source: RNAcentral